CCUACGGGUGGCAGCAGUGAGGAAUAUUGGUCAAUGGACGAGAGUCUGAACCAGCCAAGUAGCGUGAAGGAUGACUGCCCUAUGGGUUGUAAACUUCUUUUAUAUGGGAGUAAAAUGUUCCACGUGUGGGAUUUUGUAUGUACCAUAUGAAUAAGGAUCGGCUAACUCCGUGCCAGCAGCCGCGGUAAUACGGAGGAUCCGAGCGUUAUCCGGAUUUAUUGGGUUUAAAGGGAGCGUAGGUGGAUUGUUAAGUCAGUUGUGAAAGUUUGCGGCUCAACCGUAAAAUUGCAGUUGAAACUGGCAGUCUUGAGUACAGUAGAGGUGAGCGGAAUUCGUGGUGUAGCGGUGAAAUGCUUAGAUAUCACGAAGAACUCCGAUUGCGAAGGCAGUUCACUGGACUGCAACUGACACUGAGGCUCGAAAGUGUGGGUAUCAAACAGGAUUAGAUACCCUUGUAGUC
Molecule: ribosomal RNA, 460 nt
Filed under: uncultured bacterium
Lineage: Bacteria
Description: partial 16S ribosomal RNA
Rfam family: Bacterial small subunit ribosomal RNA
Source: RNAcentral